CUUUAAUUGUGAAGGAAGAGUAAACAAGAAUUUUUUUACUGUCAUCCCCAGGAGUUCUGAUGUGGAUUCAGACCGAGGUGCAGAAAAGAAAAAGGAGCGACACCACAGCAGCGACAGCGAGCGCAGCCUGUGCACGGAGCGAAGCCACAAGAAUGGAAGCGGCGAAGGAAAGGGAGAGUCGCAACGACGUUACUCGCAUGAAAAGGACUGUAAAUCUGAGAGCAGCUUUCCACCUGGAAGACGUCCACGUAAAGAUGACAUCUCCCUCACUUCUGUGUCACUCACUAAUGGUUCAACUCACCGACACCUCAAUGGACACACAGGACAUGAAUCACAGUCGAACCAGGAGCUACGCCCAAACUGCGCCUCCAACACAGACUCUAAAUAACAAACAUUUUUGACAGCGGUGAAAGAAUGACAACUUUCUCCACCUGGUGCUUCUCCAUUUGGACUUUAAUGUAUUUGUGUAUUUGGGGCGACCGUGGCUCAGGUGGUAGAGGGGUCGUCCUCUGGUCAAGAGGCUGGGGGUUCCAUCUUGGUCUAUACCGGUCUGUGUUGAAGUGUCCUUGGGCAAGACAUUGAACCCAAGUUGCUCCCAGUGGUUGACUAGCGCCUUGCAUUGGAGGUCUGUCCCAUUGUUGUGUGAAUGAGCUGAGACGGAAAGCACUUUGUGACCUCUGUCUGUGAAAGGUGGCUAUUAAAAUACAUUUAAUGUGUUUUAGCAUUCAACAAUACAUUUUUGUGGCAACUUUAAGGUCUAAAAGUGAAACUUUGGCUUUGAACAUUUAUGAAACAAAUCCUAAUAUAUACCUGUAUGGACAUAAAGCCUCGGAGCUUCCAACAUCUCAACUGCUGCUCAGUUGAACUCAGGACAAAAGAAAACUUGGUUACACAUCCCUUCAAUGAUAUUUUCCACCUGCUUCAAGGACCGAAGGAGCCAGAAAUUUAAAAAAAAAAAGUUGAAACUAUGUUUUGAAAGAUGUUUUUAAUUCACUUUGUUGACUUUUUUAAGCCCACUGAGAGCGAUCACACUAGCCAGUGCAGAGGUAGGAGCAUGGUGGCUCUCUGAUACCUCCAUGUAAACCCUGGACAGACUUGAGGACAUUUCCCAGCUCAAUGUUUUAAUGUUUCUCUGAAGCCUAAGAGUCACCUGUCAUUUUAAAAUUUUCUUUUGGCAGAGGUUUUCCACUCGGCCGCGCUCUGCCCUUUUAUUUCAUUUUAAUUAUGCACAAAGAAAAAUGUCCAAACUAUAUUAAUGGCUGUGGACCAUUUGUUAGCUUUUAAAUGACAAAUACAAUUUGUGUCUUCUAGCAUCAUAUAGAAAAACAACUGUGAAUAUGAUUUUAAACUGUACUAUCAGUUACUUUUAUAUGUUUUUAAAAAAGUCCUGUAUCAGGAUUC
RNAcentral lists this long non-coding RNA (1401 nucleotides) under Gouania willdenowi (blunt-snouted clingfish). RNAcentral describes it as "lncRNA (ENSGWIG00000009188.1)". The record is from RNAcentral. Lineage: Eukaryota; Metazoa; Chordata; Actinopteri; Blenniiformes; Gobiesocidae.